CAUGUCCAUAACUCACUGGGAAACUCCAUAGCUGUAUCCGCAUAGCCCCUCACAGGGUCCUCGCGGUUUGGCCCAUAGGUCCGUCUAUUGCCCAUUAAUUGGAAACGAAGCUCUUUUGUGGAUCUCCUGCACUUAUCCGUGGCACACAUCCUCAAAUGUUCAGCUUGCGACAGUGCAAAAAUUCCAACUGAAGAUCUUUACCCAGGAGUUCAUGCUUUUCAAGGUUUUGGGCUUGCAGCCAGCUAGUUCUACUCCUCUGGCGCGACACAAGACAGGAAGCUGACAUAAAAGAAUGGGGGGACAGUCUGUGAGGGACCCAGGAGCCAAGGCAGGAGUCAAGACAAGAGCCGCUGACGAGGUCGGAAGUUAUUGUUUCAGCCUACAGGCAUCCAUGGUGACAAGAAUCCUAUCAUUCUACUGAACAUAUUGUGAUCCGAUGGUGAUGGCGACAAGUGUGGAGAUCAUUUCAGGACAGGAACUACAUCACUGGAGUUCCUCCCUGGGCAAAUGUUGUCAUUGGGCUGAUGAGUAAAACAUUUAACUCCCUAAAUACUUCACUGGAGCCACUUGUUGGCCAACAGCACAACAUUGCAGUUGCAAGAAAAACUAAAAAAAGACAACAGGUGUGUAACUGUAUAGACCACCCAUCCUGCAGUUAUAUACUGUAUGUAAAAAGAUGUGUUUCAACUUCGUAACAAGACUAAAGGUCUGCCCCAGUCCCCACUUGCUGUCUUGAGCACUGCCAUGCGUGUACAUGUGCCAUCGAGUAGAAGGUGUGUCAGCUGCCCUUACAAAAAAUGUACAGUAUGCAAACAAUUAGGACAUACUGCUUUGUCAUAACAUUUCACCUUGUACUUUGGCCCUCACAUAUGGUGCACAUGUAGUAGUAGAACAUAUUGGUAUUUUUGGCAUACCCCAUUGGACGUACCAUGUAUUGAUAAGUCUUUCCCUUGCUAGCAGCUCUGGGUAAGCUGUACUUUGACACCGCUUUUCUUUGAGCUGCAUGCUAUUGCCAGUAUGCUACCAUGCUUACAAUAACAAUGCAAACAUGCUGAUGUUUAGCAGGUAUUAUAGUUCUGCAUGUUAACAUGCUAAUAUUUAGUCAUCUGCCGUUAACAGCUGUACACCAAAGGCUGAUGGGAAUGUCAUUCGUUUUGCACUCUACACAUGACUUGGACACGUUUAAAUUCAGACCUGAUAAUGGCACCUGAGCAAAAUCUAAGGUAUGACAAAAGUUAUUAAAAUCCCCCUGACGGGAAAUUGUCUGUACCAAGUUUAAUCCAAAUCCAUCCCAUGCUUGUUAAGAACUUUCGCUCAAAAUCACAUAUGUCAACCUGCUGGUGGUGCCGAAGGAAAAGUCAGGGGAUCACCAAGGUCCCGGUCAGUCAAGGUCCAUUAGAAUUCAACCUAUGGGCAUCACAGAUAUCUGAACCAAAUUCCAAAACAAUCCAUCCAACAGUUGUCAAGCAAGUUUCCCCUUCAUGGGACCAUGAAAGUCUUCACAAAAUUUUAUGGCAAUCAAUUAGUUUUUGAGCCAUUUCAGUCUGGAAUACAGCAGGAGACAUUAUCAGCAUAGCUAAAAACUAUUAAAUAAUAAUUACUUCUCCACUGGUUCCCAACUCUGAUCCACAAGACAGAGAAUACUGUUUUCUGCUCAGCCAAAUAGGUAAUUGGAUUGAUCUGGUAUCUUGUUAAAAUUAUUCCCUAUUAGAUUGUUAGAAAGCACUCAUCCUAUUGCUACUCAACCGCCAUUACAUUUCUAGUUAAAUUUUCAAGCCAUUGCCCUAAAUCCUCCUUUUUCUCCUUUGCUACCCAAGAAUAUGUCACUUGUGUCUUAGGUCUUCAGAUAUUUCCGCUUCCCUUGCUGCCCUUUGAACAAUUCUCUGGCUGUACUAUCAGGUUUUCGGUAUUCUGUAUGUUGCCGAGCUGACCUGCGUGGUAUUUCUUCUGGCCUAGCUGACCUUAGCCUCACACCCUCUGUUAUCCAAUGGCCCUCUAAUCACUUGUCAUUUCCACUUCACACUUCACACACUUCCCCCCUCUUUUGGCUGUCCUGUCUGCUUUUUCCUUGCAGACUUACUGGCCCUGACUAUAUGUGCCUUGUACUGCCUAAGACUGCAGAUUUUGCAUUCCAAUUCAUCAUUUCACCUCCGUUUGUAUUCUGAACCAUGUGGGGAUAAAUGUUUACCACAAAGAAUGUCUCCUUAGAUCCACCCACAAUGAUUUUGACUUUCUCUCAGUUUGUCUGGUUGAGUCAUAUACACAUUCAUGUUCAACAACUUACUGGCAACAUAGGCCUGACAAACAAUAGGACAAUUGUCUAUGAUUAAGUGAUAAUCUGAUUUCUCCAGUAUACGUGUGCUUUGGGAAUGUACAGCCAUGAAGGGGGGUAAAAACACUAAAGCCUUAUUAUGGGCUCUACUUUGUGCCUUGCUCUUAUUUACCCUUCUCCAUUUAAACUAAAAUAAUACAACAAAUACUAUAUUUCCCAAUGCAAGUGUGUCUUGUUCUGCAUCCAACUAAAGAACCAUUCACUUUUUAAUCUAAUGCACCUUGUUAUUUUCUCUUACUGCGUCAGCUCCACACAACUGCCUGGCUGCAAUGUGAAGGCACAGACUUCCCAUUAGGUAUGUUAUCUCUUAGACGCUUAUCAAUUGCUCAUGAAAAUUGUUGGGACUUCUGCCCGGAACAAGGACGCUGUAGACCACUUUUGAAGCGAGACCUCAGACUGGUGCUGCAGAGCACACACCUGAGAGGGGGGUGAUCACAGUACAAGCAAAGCAAUAUGGAGUUGGAGUUCAACUUUGGUGAACUUUGACUGGCGAGGUUGCAGCCUCAACCAAUAGCAAAUAAGUGUGUAUGGUUGACCCCACAUGGCUGUCACUGGAGUCACGUCUUGCAUGACCCACAUUCAGCAAGAAUAUUGCCUCAACAGGCAAGUGUCAUGUGGAAGCAAAAAGGCAUCCUGUCACCUAUUUGGUUUGCCAAAUAUCUAAUAAAAGGAAACAUAAUGCCACCUGCAAUAAUGUUAAGUGGCAGUAUUUUUGUGUGUGGAGAAGGUACAAUCUUUGAAUUCUGCACGCAAGUUGUAGGCUGGUUGUAGACUUCUGUGUCUGGAUGACAUUGUUCUGGGUUUGGAUAACUACCACCGGGGUUAAAGCUUUACAUUAUGGGUGCCUCGUGUUGUUAGAUAUAGGCAGCAGAAGCACUUUAUCAAAGGUUAGGGAAAGAUCAUGGUUUUGGUUGAUUACAUACAGGUGCAUCUCAAUCAAUCAGAAUAUCAUGGAAAAGCACCAUCUCCAGUAGUUCAAGUCAAAUAGCCCAACCAAGUAUUAAGUGCAUAUGGAUGGACAUACUUUUCGGAGGCCAACAUUCCCAUAUUAAACAUACUCUUUAAAAUUUGUCUUUUGUAAUAUUCAAAAUUUUUUGAGACACUGAAUUUUAGGUCUUCAUUAAAUGUAAGCCAUAAUCAUAAUAAAUUAAGACAUGAAAUGUUUCAUUCUGUGUGUAAUUGGUCUUUAAAAUGUGUUAUUUCCACUUUUUGAAUUGAAUUACUGACAUAGAUAAACUUUUCUAUGAUAUUCUAAUUUAUUGAGAUGCACCUGUAAACACUGCAUUCCUCUGGGUUUAAGUGUCACAACCUGUCUCCAGUCACAUACCCUAUUUCCUCCCUCUUUUUCAUACAUCCACCAGAUGCCCUUGGACUUUCCCUCCUUUUUUUCAUCACACGACUGCCCCACCUAUCUACACACCUGCAGCUCAUUCCCUCAUCAGCUUCUCUCUCUAUAUAUAUACCCGACUAGCUCCUUGGUUCUGUCAGUUCAUCAAAGUUGCAAUGUAAUAUUCUGUCAUUGAGUUUGAGCCUCUGUAUACCUACCUCUGCAAUGAGUCACUCAACUAAUGCUGUCUGCCUGUUUAGUCUGCAUUUGGCUCCUUCCCUUGUUGCAUGCUUUUCACAUUAUUCAUUUGGGUUUUUUAAAAUCUUUUUUACCUCUUCAUUGGUUUCUCUUAUGUCCGCCUUCCUCUGUAGGUGCAGGACCUCAAGCUCCAGGUACCGUAGAGCCUCUCUUGACUGAGAUCUCCUUCAUCUCCUUUAUCCAGCUCUCAACCUUCUCAGAGAGCUUGGCAACCCAGCGCUUCCACCUUUUCAGCAAUCUCUUCAAAGUCUUUGUCCAUCUCUUGAAAAACGUUUUUUUCACAAUAAAACAAAUAACAGAUAUUGUGACAUCAAUUCACACUUAAUUGUUUCAAUAUUUAA
Long non-coding RNA from Centropristis striata (black sea bass), 4258 nucleotides. RefSeq lists it as uncharacterized. The transcript has 3 exons. NCBI's taxonomy places the organism in Eukaryota, Metazoa, Chordata, Actinopteri, Perciformes, Serranidae. The record is from RefSeq and is a predicted model, not a curated record.